Molecule: ribosomal RNA, 546 nt
Filed under: Penicillium chrysogenum
Lineage: Eukaryota; Fungi; Ascomycota; Eurotiomycetes; Eurotiales; Aspergillaceae
Description: eukaryotic LSU rRNA
Rfam family: 5.8S ribosomal RNA (bases 196-348)
Source: RNAcentral
UGCUGCGGAAGGAUCAUUACCGAGUGAGGGCCCUCUGGGUCCAACCUCCCACCCGUGUUUAUUUUACCUUGUUGCUUCGGCGGGCCCGCCUUAACUGGCCGCCGGGGGGCUUACGCCCCCGGGCCCGCGCCCGCCGAAGACACCCUCGAACUCUGUCUGAAGAUUGUAGUCUGAGUGAAAAUAUAAAUUAUUUAAAACUUUCAACAACGGAUCUCUUGGUUCCGGCAUCGAUGAAGAACGCAGCGAAAUGCGAUACGUAAUGUGAAUUGCAAAUUCAGUGAAUCAUCGAGUCUUUGAACGCACAUUGCGCCCCCUGGUAUUCCGGGGGGCAUGCCUGUCCGAGCGUCAUUGCUGCCCUCAAGCACGGCUUGUGUGUUGGGCCCCGUCCUCCGAUCCCGGGGGACGGGCCCGAAAGGCAGCGGCGGCACCGCGUCCGGUCCUCGAGCGUAUGGGGCUUUGUCACCCGCUCUGUAGGCCCGGCCGGCGCUUGCCGAUCAACCCAAAUUUUUAUCCAGGUGACCUCGGAUCAGGUAGGUUGCUAGAUCC